CCUACGGGUGGCAGCAGUAGGGAAUCUUUCACAAUGGGCGAAAGCCUGACGCAGCAACGCCGCGUGCAGGAUGAAGGCCCUCGGGUUGUAAACUUCUUUUAUCAGCGAGAAAUAUAAUGGUAGCUUAUGAAUAAGUAUCGGCUAACAACGUGCUAGCAGCAGCGGUCAUACAUAGGAGGCGGGCAUUGUUCAGGGUGACUGGGGGUAAAGAGUGGCGUGGGGGGGGUAAGCAGAAGCGAGUGGAAUCUCGGGGCCCAAACAUUCAGACUACAAGUUAAACUGUUAAGCUUGAGUCCGGUAGAGGUAGCUGGAAUUCCUAGUGUAGGGGUGAAAUCCGUAGAUAUUAGAAGGAACACCAAUAGCGAAGGCAGUCUGCUGGAACGGUACUGACGCUGAGGCACGAAAGCGUAGGGAGCAAACAGGAUUAGAUACCCCUGUAGUC
This 442-nucleotide ribosomal RNA is filed under the name uncultured bacterium. Its description in RNAcentral is "partial 16S ribosomal RNA". It matches the Rfam family "Bacterial small subunit ribosomal RNA", at positions 338 to 795 of the family's 1533-position model. The record is from RNAcentral.